UGGCUAUCUAGUGGGCAGCAGCAGGGUC
This 28-nucleotide small RNA is filed under the name Bombyx mori (domestic silkworm). RNAcentral's name for it is "ovarian small RNA-8782". Lineage: Eukaryota; Metazoa; Arthropoda; Insecta; Lepidoptera; Bombycidae. The record is from RNAcentral.